Molecule: long non-coding RNA, 905 nt
Organism: Peromyscus eremicus (cactus mouse)
Lineage: Eukaryota; Metazoa; Chordata; Mammalia; Rodentia; Cricetidae
Exons: 6
Source: RefSeq, a predicted model, not a curated record
CGCACCUUCCCCCACCCCCGGCCUAAUAUCCCUCCCCCGCACCACCCGCCUCCACUCACUCCUCCUCCGCUUCCAGCGCCACCUCGUAUCUCCUCAAUCGCGACAUGUCCCGGGCUCCGAACGGUUCCUGGGGAGCAGCAUGAUACGAACACUUAUUCCCAGCCGCAAGUCCCCUUCUCCAUCCUUCCUAGGACGAGUCUGAAUCGUCCUCAGGAGGAAGAGAGUAAAUAGGGUAUUCUCCCUGAGUUUACUUGAAGACAACAUUUUGGCUUAUUUCACAUGCUACUCAAACUAAUUCAGACUGGAUCAGCCUUUCUAUCUUCAAACCAGUCAGAGACUUCAUUGACUUUGAAGCUGUCUCCAAAACUCCAGUCCAGCCACAAGGAUGCAGAGGUGCAUGGUCAUCAACCACCAGUCCAGACUGUCGCCUAUGAAGGAAGGGUCCAGUCCUAAUGUCCGCCAAGCCUGCUAAUGUCUAACUAGGUACCCAACACAGUGUUAGAAGAUAAGACAUCAGGAGAUACAGUCCCUGAGAUGCAGUCAAGUUGAUAUGAAGAUUAACCAUAAAAAGAAUCACUCAUGAAUGUGAGGCCAGCCUGGACUACAUAGUGAAUUCCAGACCAGCCAGGCUGCAGAAUGAGACUUAUCUCAAAAGCACCCAGAAACUGGAUCUGAGAACUCAGCUUCUUCAGUCCUGGAUGGCCCGAAGACCAGCAGCUCUCCAGGAAUCCUUCAGGCCAGACCGGGACUGCAGAUGCAUCGGACCCCGUCGACUGAGCAGUUGCCUGGCUCUCAGUCUUUCCAGUGUGAAGACAGCAUUGUUGAACUAACCAGAUGAUCCUGUGCAAGCUGGUCUACUGAUCCCCUUCUAAUAAAUAUUAGCGGCGUUCAGUCAUCCACACCCA